CGACGAUCCGUAACUUGGUCUGAGAGGAUGAUCAGUCACACUGGAACUUGAGACACGGUCCAGACUCCUACGGGAGGCAGCAGUGGGGAAUAUUGGACAAUGGGCGAAAGCCUUGAUCCAAGCCAUGCCGCGUGUGUGAAGAAGGUCUUCGGAUUGUAAAGCACUUUAAGUUGGGAGGAAGGGCAGUUACCUAAUACGUAAUUGUUUUGACGUUACCGACAGAAUAAGCACCGGCUAACUCUGUGCCAGCAGCCGCGGUAAUACAGAGGGUGCAAGCGUUAAUCGGAAUUACUGGGCGUAAAGCGCGCGUAGGUGGUUUGUUAAGUUGAAUGUGAAAUCCCCGGGCUCAACCUGGGAACUGCAUCCAAAACUGGCAAGCUAGAGUAUGGUAGAGGGUGGUGGAAUUUCCUGUGUAGCGGUGAAAUGCGUAGAUAUAGGAAGGAACACCAGUGGCGAAGGCGACCACCUGGACC
RNAcentral lists this ribosomal RNA (473 nucleotides) under Pseudomonas sp. Z100. RNAcentral describes it as "bacterial SSU rRNA". It matches the Rfam family "Bacterial small subunit ribosomal RNA", at positions 274 to 735 of the family's 1533-position model. Lineage: Bacteria; Pseudomonadati; Pseudomonadota; Gammaproteobacteria; Pseudomonadales; Pseudomonadaceae. The record is from RNAcentral.